CCGGAGCGCCUCCCCCCACCGAAGCUUGCAUUAAGUAGGUGGCUUCACCAAGUCUGGGCUGCGGGAGAGUACUGCGUUUCAGCUGUUUGAUCUUGCCAUCCUCCACCAUGGGAGUGACUUGUGUGUCCCAGAUGCCCGUGGCCGAGGGCAAGAGUGUCCAGCAGACCGUGGAACUCCUCACCCGGAAACUGGAAAUGCUUGGAGCAGAGAAGCAAGGAACAUUUUGUGUGGACUGUGAGACCUACCACACAGCUGCCUCUACCCUUGGCAGCCAAGGUCAGGCCGGGAAGCUGAUGUACGUGAUGCACAAUUCCGAGUACCCUCUGAGCUGCUUCGCCCUCUUUGAGAACGGCCCUUGCCUUAUUGCCGACACCAACUUUGAUGUGCUCAUGGUGAAGCUCAAGGGCUUUUUCCAGAGUGCCAAGGCCAGCAAGAUUGAGACCCGGGGCACCCGUUACCAGUAUUGUGACUUCCUGGUGAAGGUGGGCACAGUCACAAUGGGGCCCAGUGCCCGGGGCAUCUCCGUGGAGGUGGAGUAUGGCCCCUGUGUGGUAGCUAGUGACUGCUGGAACCUCCUGCUCGAGUUCCUGCAGAGUUUUCUCGGCAGCCACACGCCAGGGGCUCCAGCAGUGUUUGGGAACAGGCACGACGCGGUCUACAGCCCGGCAGACACCAUGGUCCAGUACAUGGAACUCUUCAACAAGAUCCGCAAGCAGCAGCAGGUGCCAGUGGCGGGGAUUCGUUAGUGACUGGCAGCUGCCCGGCUGAGCUCUGUCGCCAGAGGGACUGCACAGGAGGAGCAGGUGCUGCACCCUCAGGCCCCUGGACCCCAGAGGCCCAGGGCAGCCAGGAAGGAUUCCCUCCCUCUCCAGUUAACAGCUUUGGCUCCUGUUCUGGGGCUCCGGACUAUCUCCCCUGACCCUCCCACACAGCCCUCCAACAGCUGUUUUCACCCUUCACCUUGCUGGACUUGGCCUGUCCUCAAGAAUGGUAAUUAUGAAGAGAGAAGUUUCGAGCUUUCCUGCUUUAGGGGAAAAGGUAAGAGAGAAGAGGAAACCUAACCAAUGGCUGUGGAGUAAUAUGGAGGAAGAUGGGAAAAACUUAUUUAAUGGAGCUUCCAUCCCAGCCUGGGAGUCCUUUGCAGUGGUCACAGCUCCCUCUUCAGGGGAGUCUCAGAGUUCAUGGUCGCUACUGUGGAUCUUGAACUCUGUCUGCUGUUUCUCAAUGACAAGUACUGAGGGUAGAAUGGGAGUUACUUGACAUUUUGUGAUUUAUUGAUUUUUUUAAAAGGGGGGCACCAAAUGGUUUGGGAUUUUUUCAAAUUUUACCUGGAACCCCAACCCAAUAAAGCAAUAAAGGUGAGCCUGUCCAGUUACCCUUA
Vicugna pacos (alpaca) is the source of this 1381-nucleotide non-coding RNA. The record is from RefSeq and is a predicted model, not a curated record. NCBI's taxonomy places the organism in Eukaryota, Metazoa, Chordata, Mammalia, Artiodactyla, Camelidae.